GGGUUGUGAGGUUAAGCGACUAAGCGUACACGGUGGAUGCCCUGGCAGUCAGAGGCGAUGAAGGACGUGCUAAUCUGCGAAAAGCGUCGGUAAGGUGAUAUGAACCGUUACAGCCGGCGAUGUCCGAAUGGGGAAACCCAGUGCAAUUCGUUGCACUAUCGUUAACUGAAUACAUAGGUUAACGAGGCGAACCGGGGGAACUGAAACAUCUAAGUACCCCGAGGAAAAGAAAUCAACCGAGAUUCCCCCAGUAGCGGCGAGCGAACGGGGAGCAGCCCAGAGUCUGAAUCAGCUUGUGUGUUAGUGGAACGGUCUGGAAAGUCCGACGGUACAGGGUGAUAGUCCCGUACACCAAAAUGCACAGGUUGUGAACUCGAAGAGUAGGGCGGGACACGUGGUAUCCUGUCUGAAUAUGGGGGGACCAUCCUCCAAGGCUAAAUACUCCUGACUGACCGAUAGUGAACCAGUACCGUGAGGGAAAGGCGAAAAGAACCCCGGCGAGGGGAGUGAAAAAGAACCUGAAACCGUGUACGUACAAGCAGUGGGAGCACCUUCGGGUGUGACUGCGUACCUUUUGUAUAAUGGGUCAGCGACUUAUAUUCUGUAGCAAGGUUAACCGUAUAGGGGAGCCGCAGGGAAACCGAGUCUUAACUGGGCGUUAAGUUGCAGGGUAUAGACCCGAAACCCGGUGAUCUAGCCAUGGGCAGGUUGAAGGUUGGGUAACACUAACUGGAGGACCGAACCGACUAAUGUUGAAAAAUUAGCGGAUGACUUGUGGCUGGGGGUGAAAGGCCAAUCAAACCGGGAGAUAGCUGGUUCUCCCCGAAAGCUAUUUAGGUAGCGCCUCGUGAACUCAUCUUCGGGGGUAGAGCACUGUUUCGGCUAGGGGGUCAUCCCGACUUACCAACCCGAUGCAAACUACGAAUACCGAAGAAUGUUAUCACGGGAGACACACGGCGGGUGCUAACGUCCGUCGUGAAGAGGGAAACAACCCAGACCGCCAGCUAAGGUCCCAAAGUCAUGGUUAAGUGGGAAACGAUGUGGGAAGGCACAGACAGCCAGGAUGUUGGCUUAGAAGCAGCCAUCAUUUAAAGAAAGCGUAAUAGCUCACUGGUCGAGUCGGCCUGCGCGGAAGAUGUAACGGGGCUAAACCAUGCACCGAAGCUGCGGCAGCGACACUAUGUGUUGUUGGGUAGGGGAGCGUUCUGUAAGCCUGCGAAGGUGUGCUGUGAGGCAUGCUGGAGGUAUCAGAAGUGCGAAUGCUGACAUAAGUAACGAUAAAGCGGGUGAAAAGCCCGCUCGCCGGAAGACCAAGGGUUCCUGUCCAACGUUAAUCGGGGCAGGGUGAGUCGACCCCUAAGGCGAGGCCGAAAGGCGUAGUCGAUGGGAAACAGGUUAAUAUUCCUGUACUUGGUGUUACUGCGAAGGGGGGACGGAGAAGGCUAUGUUAGCCGGGCGACGGUUGUCCCGGUUUAAGCAUGUAGGCUGGUUAUCCAGGCAAAUCCGGAUAAUCAAGGCUGAGGUGUGAUGACGAGGCACUACGGUGCUGAAGUAACAAAUGCCCUGCUUCCAGGAAAAGCCUCUAAGCAUCAGGUAACAUCAAAUCGUACCCCAAACCGACACAGGUGGUCAGGUAGAGAAUACCAAGGCGCUUGAGAGAACUCGGGUGAAGGAACUAGGCAAAAUGGUGCCGUAACUUCGGGAGAAGGCACGCUGGUGUGUAGGUGAAGUCCCUGCGGAUGGAGCUGAGACCAGUCGAAGAUACCAGCUGGCUGCAACUGUUUAUUAAAAACACAGCACUGUGCAAACACGAAAGUGGACGUAUACGGUGUGACGCCUGCCCGGUGCCGGAAGGUUAAUUGAUGGGGUUAUCCGUAAGGAGAAGCUCUUGAUCGAAGCCCCGGUAAACGGCGGCCGUAACUAUAACGGUCCUAAGGUAGCGAAAUUCCUUGUCGGGUAAGUUCCGACCUGCACGAAUGGCGUAAUGAUGGCCAGGCUGUCUCCACCCGAGACUCAGUGAAAUUGAACUCGCUGUGAAGAUGCAGUGUACCCGCGGCAAGACGGAAAGACCCCGUGAACCUUUACUAUAGCUUGACACUGAACAUUGAGCCUUGAUGUGUAGGAUAGGUGGGAGGCUUUGAAGCGUGGACGCCAGUCUGCGUGGAGCCAACCUUGAAAUACCACCCUUUAAUGUUUGAUGUUCUAACGUUGGCCCCUGACCGGGGUUGCGGACAGUGUCUGGUGGGUAGUUUGACUGGGGCGGUCUCCUCCCAAAGCGUAACGGAGGAGCACGAAGGUUAGCUAAUCCUGGUCGGACAUCAGGAGGUUAGUGCAAUGGCAUAAGCUAGCUUGACUGCGAGCGUGACGGCGCGAGCAGGUGCGAAAGCAGGUCAUAGUGAUCCGGUGGUUCUGAAUGGAAGGGCCAUCGCUCAACGGAUAAAAGGUACUCCGGGGAUAACAGGCUGAUACCGCCCAAGAGUUCAUAUCGACGGCGGUGUUUGGCACCUCGAUGUCGGCUCAUCACAUCCUGGGGCUGAAGUAGGUCCCAAGGGUAUGGCUGUUCGCCAUUUAAAGUGGUACGCGAGCUGGGUUUAGAACGUCGUGAGACAGUUCGGUCCCUAUCUGCCGUGGGCGCUGGAGAAUUGAGGGGGGCUGCUCCUAGUACGAGAGGACCGGAGUGGACGCAUCACUGGUGUUCGGGUUGUCAUGCCAAUGGCACUGCCCGGUAGCUAAAUGCGGAAGAGAUAAGUGCUGAAAGCAUCUAAGCACGAAACUUGCCCCGAGAUGAGUUCUCCCUGAGACUUUAAGUCUCCUGAAGGAACGUUAAAGACGAUGACGUUGAUAGGCCGGGUGUGUAAGCGCAGCGAUGCGUUG
This 2874-nucleotide ribosomal RNA is filed under the name Klebsiella pneumoniae. RNAcentral describes it as "bacterial LSU rRNA". It matches the Rfam family "Bacterial large subunit ribosomal RNA". Lineage: Bacteria; Pseudomonadati; Pseudomonadota; Gammaproteobacteria; Enterobacterales; Enterobacteriaceae. The record is from RNAcentral.